RNAcentral lists this ribosomal RNA (497 nucleotides) under uncultured bacterium. Its description in RNAcentral is "partial 16S ribosomal RNA". It matches the Rfam family "Bacterial small subunit ribosomal RNA", at positions 28 to 507 of the family's 1533-position model. The record is from RNAcentral.
GAUGAACGCUGGCGGCGUGCCUAAUACAUGCAAGUCGAGCGAACAGACGAGGAGCUUGCUCCUCUGACGUUAGCGGCGGACGGGUGAGUAACACGUGGAUAACCUACCUAUAAGACUGGGAUAACUUCGGGAAACCGGAGCUAAUACCGGAUAAUAUAUUGAACCGCAUGGUUCAAUAGUGAAAGACGGUUUUGCUGUCACUUAUAGAUGGAUCCGCGCCGCAUUAGCUAGUUGGUAAGGUAACGGCUUACCAAGGCGACGAUGCGUAGCCGACCUGAGAGGGGGAUCGGCCACACGAGAACUGAGACACGGUCCAGACUCCUACGGGAGGCAGCAGUAGGGAAUCUUCCGCAAUAGGCGAAAGCCUGACGGAGCAACGCCGCGUGAGUGAUGAAGGUCUUCGGAUCGUAAAACUCUGUUAUUAGGGAAAAACAAAUGUGUAAGUAACUAUGCACGUCUUGACGGUACCUAAUCAGAAAGCCACGGCUAACUACGUG